This 65-nucleotide transfer RNA is filed under the name mouse gut metagenome. It matches the Rfam family "tRNA", at positions 6 to 65 of the family's 71-position model. From Rfam's summary of the family: Transfer RNA (tRNA) molecules are approximately 80 nucleotides in length. Their secondary structure includes four short double-helical elements and three loops (D, anti-codon, and T loops). RNAcentral also lists the same sequence under 6 other names. The record is from RNAcentral.
GCGUGUAGCUCAGGCGGUAGAGCACUUGACUUUUAAUCAAGUUGUCCGGGGUUCGAAUCCCCGCA